Molecule: ribosomal RNA, 202 nt
Filed under: Harmonia quadripunctata (cream-streaked ladybird beetle)
Lineage: Eukaryota; Metazoa; Arthropoda; Insecta; Coleoptera; Coccinellidae
Description: partial 28S ribosomal RNA
Rfam family: Eukaryotic large subunit ribosomal RNA
Source: RNAcentral
GGACCAAGGAGUCUAGCGUGUGCGCGAGUCAUUGGGAAUAACUAAACCUAAAGGCGCAAUGAAAGUAACGGUUCGCUUCAUGUGAACUAAGGGAAGAUGGUCGGUCUCCAUGACUGACCCGCAUUCCCGGGGCGCCUCAUUCUCAUUGCGAGAGGAGGCGCACCAAGAGCGUACACGCUGGGACCCGAAAGAUGGUGAACUA